GAUAGCCGUGUGCGGGAAAACCAGCACGCACGAUUCGGAGGGAGGGGCGGGUGAAAAUCCGUCCCUAUCCCUAU
RNAcentral lists this non-coding RNA (74 nucleotides) under Candidatus Kentrum sp. TUN. Lineage: Bacteria; Pseudomonadati; Pseudomonadota; Gammaproteobacteria. The record is from RNAcentral.